CCUACGGGCGGCAGCAGUGGGGAAUAUUGGACAAUGGGGGCAACCCUGAUCCAGCCAUGCCGCGUGUGUGAAGAAGGCCCUCGGGUUGUAAAGCACUCUCAGUGAGGAAGAACGCCUGGUGGUUAAUACCCAUCAGGAAAGACAUCACUCACAGAAGAAGCACCGGCUAACUCCGUGCCAGCAGCCGCGGUAAUACGGAGGGUGCGAGCGUUAAUCGGAAUUACUGGGCGUAAAGCGCGCGUAGGUGGCUUGAUAAGCCGGUUGUGAAAGCCCCGGGCUCAACCUGGGAACGGCAUCCGGAACUGUCAAGCUAGAGUGCAGGAGAGGAAGGUAGAAUUCCCGGUGUAGCGGUGAAAUGCGUAGAGAUCGGGAGGAAUACCAGUGGCGAAGGCGGCCUUCUGGACUGACACUGACACUGAGGUGCGAAAGCGUGGGUAGCAAACAGGAUUAGAUACCCUAGUAGUC
RNAcentral lists this ribosomal RNA (465 nucleotides) under Vreelandella stevensii. RNAcentral describes it as "partial 16S ribosomal RNA". It matches the Rfam family "Bacterial small subunit ribosomal RNA", at positions 338 to 795 of the family's 1533-position model. Lineage: Bacteria; Pseudomonadati; Pseudomonadota; Gammaproteobacteria; Oceanospirillales; Halomonadaceae. The record is from RNAcentral.